AGCAUGGCUUAAUAGUUCUCAGGUUGCUUUGCAGCUGGCUGACCUUCUAGAGGAACUAUGCCGUUUAGUCAUGUAGUAUGAGCCAUACCAGGUCCUGUGAUGCAUAGAUGUCUGGCCGCACGCGCGCUACACUGAUGCAUUCAACAAGCCUAUCCUGGACCGAAGGGUCUGGGUAAUCUUUGAAACUGCAUCGUGAUGGGGAUAGAUUAUUGCAAUUAUUAGUCUUCAACGAGGAAUGCCUAGUAAGCGCAAGUCAUCAGCUUGCGUUGAUUACGUCCCUGCCCUUUGUACACACCGCCCGUCGCUCCUACCGAUUGGGUGUGCUGGUGAAGUGUUCGGAUUGGCAGCUUAGGGUGGCAACACCUCAGGUCUGCCGAGAAGUUCAUUAAACCCUCCCACCUAGAGGAAGGAGAAGUCGUAACAAGG
RNAcentral lists this ribosomal RNA (426 nucleotides) under Tetradesmus obliquus. RNAcentral describes it as "SSU rRNA". It matches the Rfam family "Eukaryotic small subunit ribosomal RNA", at positions 1366 to 1799 of the family's 1831-position model. The record is from RNAcentral. Lineage: Eukaryota; Viridiplantae; Chlorophyta; Chlorophyceae; Sphaeropleales; Scenedesmaceae.